UCUGUCUGAUGAUGACAAGUUCAUGCACCACACAGAAAUAUUACUGUGUUGAUUAUGAAACUCUGAAGACUU
Pelobates cultripes (western spadefoot toad) is the source of this 72-nucleotide non-coding RNA. The record is from the annotation of a GenBank genome assembly. Lineage: Eukaryota; Metazoa; Chordata; Amphibia; Anura; Pelobatidae.